AUCAAAGUGAACAGGGUAGUGCCCAUAACCUAUAAAGGAGAAAACGCCCGAUGCGCGUUUUGGUGCAAACCUGCCUUGCAAAUUUAAUGGUUUAUUUUGUAAACUUAUAUGUGCUACUGUAAUCAAAAUCACUAAAUGGUGUUCAGCUACACUAUAUGGACAAAAUAUUGGGACACACCUCUUAAUAAUUUAAUUCACGUGUUUCAAUCAGGCCAAUUGCCACAAGUGUAUAAAAUCAAGCAUCUAGCCAUGC
Pelobates cultripes (western spadefoot toad) is the source of this 253-nucleotide non-coding RNA. The record is from the annotation of a GenBank genome assembly. NCBI's taxonomy places the organism in Eukaryota, Metazoa, Chordata, Amphibia, Anura, Pelobatidae.